CCUACGGGAGGCAGCAGUGGGGAAUAUUGCACAAUGGGGGAAACCCUGAUGCAGCGACGCCGUGUGAGUGAAGAAGUAUUUCGGUACGUAAAGCUCUCUCAGCAGGGAAGAGUAGAAGACGGUACCUCUUGAAUAAGCCACGGCUAAUUACGUGCCAGCAGCCGCGGUAAUACGUAGGUGGCAAGCGUUGUCCGGAUUUACUGGGUGUAACGGGCGUGUAGCCGGGCCGGCAAGUCAGAUGUGAAAUCCCAAGGCUCAACCGUGGAACUGCAGUUGAAACUGUUGGUCGUGAGUAGCGGAGAGGCAGGCGGAAUUCCUAGUGUAGCGGUGAAAUGCGUAGAUAUUAGGAGGAACACCAGUGGCGAAGGCGGCCUGCUGGACGACAACUGACGGUGAGGCGCGAAAGCGUGGGGAGCAAACAGGAUUAGAUAUCCUGUAGUC
This 441-nucleotide ribosomal RNA is filed under the name uncultured bacterium. RNAcentral describes it as "partial 16S ribosomal RNA". It matches the Rfam family "Bacterial small subunit ribosomal RNA", at positions 338 to 795 of the family's 1533-position model. The record is from RNAcentral.